AACGAACGCUGGCGGCAGGCCUAACACAUGCAAGUCGAGCGAGAUCUUCGGGUCUAGCGGCGGACGGGUGAGUAACGCGUGGGAAUAUGCCUCUUGGUACGGAAUAGCCUCGGUAAACUUGGAGUAAUACCGUAUGUGCCCUUUGGGGGAAAGAUUUAUCGCCAAGAGAUUAGCCCGCGUUGGUUUAGGUGGUUGGUGGGGUAAUGGCCUACCAAGCCGACGUUCCAUAGCUGGUUUGAGAGGAUGAUCAGCCACACUGGGACUGAGACCCGGCCCAGACUCCGACGGGAGGCAGCAGUGGGGAAUCUUAGACAAUGGAGGCAACCCUGAUCUAGCCAUGCCGCGUGAGUGAUGAAGGCCUUAGGGUUGUAAAGCUCUUUCAGCUGGGAAGAUAAUGACGGUACCAGCAGAAGAAGCCCCGGCUAACUCCGUG
RNAcentral lists this ribosomal RNA (433 nucleotides) under uncultured bacterium. Its description in RNAcentral is "partial 16S ribosomal RNA". It matches the Rfam family "Bacterial small subunit ribosomal RNA", at positions 29 to 507 of the family's 1533-position model. The record is from RNAcentral.